This 451-nucleotide ribosomal RNA is filed under the name uncultured bacterium. Its description in RNAcentral is "partial 16S ribosomal RNA". It matches the Rfam family "Bacterial small subunit ribosomal RNA", at positions 29 to 523 of the family's 1533-position model. The record is from RNAcentral.
AACGAACGCUGGCGGCAGGCCUAACACAUGCAAGUCGAACGCUCGUAGCAAUACGGGAGUGGCAGACGGGUGAGUAACGCGUGGGAAUCUACCCAUUGGUACGGAAUAACUCAGGGAAACUUGAGCUAAUACCGUAUGUGCCCGAAAGGGGAAAGAUUUAUCGCCAUUGGAUGAGCCCGCGUCGGAUUAGCUAGUUGGUGGGGUAACGGCCCACCAAGGCGACGAUCCGUAGCUGGUCUGAGAGGAUGAUCAGCCACACUGGGACUGAGACACGGCCCAGACUCCUACGGGAGGCAGCAGUGGGGAAUAUUGGACAAUGGGCGCAAGCCUGAUCCAGCCAUGCCGCGUGAGUGAUGAAGGCCCUAGGGUUGUAAAGCUCUUUCGGCGGGGACGAUAAUGACGGUACCCGCAGAAGAAGCCCCGGCUAACUUCGCGCCAGCCGCCGCAGUAA